This 301-nucleotide ribosomal RNA is filed under the name uncultured bacterium. Its description in RNAcentral is "partial 16S ribosomal RNA". It matches the Rfam family "Bacterial small subunit ribosomal RNA", at positions 509 to 807 of the family's 1533-position model. The record is from RNAcentral.
CAGUAGCCACGGGAAUACGAAGGGUGCAAGCGUUACUCGGAAUUACUGGGCGUAAAGCGUGCGUAGGUGGUGGUUUAAGUCCGUUGUGAAAGCCCUGGGCUCAACCCCGGAACUGCAUCCGAUACUGCCGUGCUAGAGGAUUGGAGAGGUAGCUGGAAUUCUUGGUGUAGCAGUGAAAUGCGUGGAGAUCAAGAGGAACACUCGUGGCGAAAGCGAGCUACUGGACAAUAUCUGACGCUGAGGCUCGAAGGCCAGGGUAGCGAAAGGGAUUAGAUACCCCAGUAGUCCCUGUCUCUUAUAC